RNAcentral lists this ribosomal RNA (2160 nucleotides) under Enterobacter hormaechei. RNAcentral's name for it is "bacterial LSU rRNA". It matches the Rfam family "Bacterial large subunit ribosomal RNA", at positions 1 to 2187 of the family's 2925-position model. The record is from RNAcentral. Lineage: Bacteria; Pseudomonadati; Pseudomonadota; Gammaproteobacteria; Enterobacterales; Enterobacteriaceae.
UUAAGCGACUAAGCGUACACGGUGGAUGCCCUGGCAGUCAGAGGCGAUGAAGGACGUGCUAAUCUGCGAAAAGCGCCGGCGAGGUGAUAUGAACCUUUGACCCGGCGAUGUCCGAAUGGGGAAACCCAGUGCAAUCCGUUGCACUAUCGUUAACUGAAUACAUAGGUUAACGAGGCGAACCGGGGGAACUGAAACAUCUAAGUACCCCGAGGAAAAGAAAUCAACCGAGAUUCCCCCAGUAGCGGCGAGCGAACGGGGAGCAGCCCGGAGUCUGAAUCAGCUUGUGUGUUAGUGGAACGGUCUGGAAAGUCCGACGGUACAGGGUGAUAGUCCCGUACACGAAAGCACACAUGCUGUGAACUCGAAGAGUAGGGCGGGACACGUGGUAUCCUGUCUGAAUAUGGGGGGACCAUCCUCCAAGGCUAAAUACUCCUGACUGACCGAUAGUGAACCAGUACCGUGAGGGAAAGGCGAAAAGAACCCCGGCGAGGGGAGUGAAAAAGAACCUGAAACCGUGUACGUACAAGCAGUGGGAGCCUCUUUAUGGGGUGACUGCGUACCUUUUGUAUAAUGGGUCAGCGACUUAUAUUCUGUAGCAAGGUUAACCGUAUAGGGGAGCCGAAGGGAAACCGAGUCUUAACUGGGCGUUAAGUUGCAGGGUAUAGACCCGAAACCCGGUGAUCUAGCCAUGGGCAGGUUGAAGGUUGGGUAACACUAACUGGAGGACCGAACCGACUAAUGUUGAAAAAUUAGCGGAUGACCUGUGGCUGGGGGUGAAAGGCCAAUCAAACCGGGAGAUAGCUGGUUCUCCCCGAAAGCUAUUUAGGUAGCGCCUCGUGAAUUCAUCUUCGGGGGUAGAGCACUGUUUCGGCUAGGGGGCCAUCCCGGCUUACCAACCCGAUGCAAACUACGAAUACCGAAGAAUGUUAUCACGGGAGACACACGGCGGGUGCUAACGUCCGUCGUGAAGAGGGAAACAACCCAGACCGCCAGCUAAGGUCCCAAAGUCAUGGUUAAGUGGGAAACGAUGUGGGAAGGCACAGACAGCCAGGAUGUUGGCUUAGAAGCAGCCAUCAUUUAAAGAAAGCGUAAUAGCUCACUGGUCGAGUCGGCCUGCGCGGAAGAUGUAACGGGGCUAAACCAUGCACCGAAGCUGCGGCAGCGACACUUAUGUGUUGUUGGGUAGGGGAGCGUUCUGUAAGCCGUUGAAGGUGUGCUGUGAGGCAUGCUGGAGGUAUCAGAAGUGCGAAUGCUGACAUAAGUAACGAUAAAGCGGGUGAAAAGCCCGCUCGCCGGAAGACCAAGGGUUCCUGUCCAACGUUAAUCGGGGCAGGGUGAGUCGACCCCUAAGGCGAGGCCGAAAGGCGUAGUCGAUGGGAAACAGGUUAAUAUUCCUGUACUUGGUGUUACUGCGAAGGGGGGACGGAGAAGGCUAUGUCAGCCGGGCGACGGUUGUCCCGGUUUAAGCAUGUAGGCGGAGGUUCCAGGUAAAUCCGGUACCUUUUAACGCUGAGGUGUGAUGACGAGGCACUACGGUGCUGAAGUGAUAAAUGCCCUGCUUCCAGGAAAAGCCUCUAAGCAUCAGGUAACACGAAAUCGUACCCCAAACCGACACAGGUGGUCAGGUAGAGAAUACCAAGGCGCUUGAGAGAACUCGGGUGAAGGAACUAGGCAAAAUGGUGCCGUAACUUCGGGAGAAGGCACGCUGAUGUGUAGGUGAAGCCCCUGCGGGUGGAGCUGAAAUCAGUCGAAGAUACCAGCUGGCUGCAACUGUUUAUUAAAAACACAGCACUGUGCAAACACGAAAGUGGACGUAUACGGUGUGACGCCUGCCCGGUGCCGGAAGGUUAAUUGAUGGGGUUAGCGGCAACGCGAAGCUCUUGAUCGAAGCCCCGGUAAACGGCGGCCGUAACUAUAACGGUCCUAAGGUAGCGAAAUUCCUUGUCGGGUAAGUUCCGACCUGCACGAAUGGCGUAAUGAUGGCCAGGCUGUCUCCACCCGAGACUCAGUGAAAUUGAACUCGCUGUGAAGAUGCAGUGUACCCGCGGCAAGACGGAAAGACCCCGUGAACCUUUACUAUAGCUUGACACUGAACACUGGUCCUUGAUGUGUAGGAUAGGUGGGAGGCUUUGAAGCGUGGACGCCAGUCUGCGUGGAGCC